Molecule: transfer RNA, 58 nt
Filed under: Ancylostoma ceylanicum
Lineage: Eukaryota; Metazoa; Nematoda; Chromadorea; Rhabditida; Ancylostomatidae
Rfam family: tRNA
About the family: Transfer RNA (tRNA) molecules are approximately 80 nucleotides in length. Their secondary structure includes four short double-helical elements and three loops (D, anti-codon, and T loops). Further hydrogen bonds mediate the characteristic L-shaped molecular structure. tRNAs have two regions of fundamental functional importance: the anti-codon, which is responsible for specific mRNA codon recognition, and the 3' end, to which the tRNAs corresponding amino acid is attached (by aminoacyl-tRNA synthetases). tRNAs cope with the degeneracy of the genetic code in two manners: having more than one tRNA (with a specific anti-codon) for a particular amino acid; and 'wobble' base-pairing, i.e. permitting non-standard base-pairing at the 3rd anti-codon position.
Source: Rfam by way of RNAcentral
UGGCUCAAUCGGUAGAGCGUCCGACUACCAGUCAGGCGAUUGCUGGUUCGAGUCCGGU